Molecule: ribosomal RNA, 689 nt
Filed under: Clostridioides difficile
Lineage: Bacteria; Bacillati; Bacillota; Clostridia; Peptostreptococcales; Peptostreptococcaceae
Description: bacterial LSU rRNA
Rfam family: Bacterial large subunit ribosomal RNA
Source: RNAcentral
AAUCGAAGCAGUGAACUUAAGCCCCAGUAAACGGCGGCCGUAACUAUAACGGUCCUAAGGUAGCGAAAUUCCUUGUCGGGUAAGUUCCGACCCGCACGAAAGGCGUAACGAUUUGGGCACUGUCUCAACAACAGACUCGGUGAAAUUGUAAUUCCGGUGAAGAUGCCGGAUACCUGCGACAGGACGGAAAGACCCCAUGGAGCUUUACUGUAGCUUGACAUUGGGUCUUGGUACUACAUGUACAGGAUAGGUGGGAGGCUUUGAAACCAGGACGCCAGUUUUGGCGGAGCCAUCCUUGGGAUACCACCCUUGUAGUACUGGGACUCUAACCAUAGGCCAUGAAUCUGGUCUUGGGACACUGUCAGGUGGGCAGUUUGACUGGGGCGGUCGCCUCCCAAAAGGUAACGGAGGCGCUCAAAGGUUCUCUCAGUACGGUCGGAAAUCGUACGUAGAGUGUAAAGGCAAAAGAGAGCUUGAUUGCAAGACAUACAGGUCGAGCAAGGAUGAAAAUCGGACUUAGUGAUCCGGUGGUUCUGCGUGGAAGGGCCAUCGCUCAACGGAUAAAAGCUACCCUGGGGAUAACAGGCUUAUCUCCCCCAAGAGUCCACAUCGACGGGGAGGUUUGGCACCUCGAUGUCGGCUCAUCACAUCCUGGGGCUGUAGUAGGUCCCAAGGGUUGGGCUGUUCGC